CGAGCUCCAUGCAAGUCGAGCGGUAGCACAGAGAGCUUGCUCUCGGGUGACGAGCGGCGGACGGGUGAGUAAUGUCUGGGAAACUGCCUGAUGGAGGGGGAUAACUACUGGAAACGGUAGCUAAUACCGCAUAACGUCGCAAGACCAAAGUGGGGGACCUUCGGGCCUCAUGCCAUCAGAUGUGCCCAGAUGGGAUUAGCUGGUAGGUGGGGUAACGGCUCACCUAGGCGACGAUCCCUAGCUGGUCUGAGAGGAUGACCAGCCACACUGGAACUGAGACACGGUCCAGACUCCUACGGGAGGCAGCAGUGGGGAAUAUUGCACAAUGGGCGCAAGCCUGAUGCAGCCAUGCCGCGUGUGUGAAGAAGGCCUUCGGGUUGUAAAGCACUUUCAGCGGGGAGGAAGGCGGUGAGGUUAAUAACCUUGUCGAUUGACGUUACCCGCAGAAGAAGCACCGGCUAACUCCGUGCCAGCAGCCGCGGUAAUACGGAGGGUGCAAGCGUUAAUCGGAAUUACUGGGCGUAAAGCGCACGCAGGCGGUCUGUCAAGUCGGAUGUGAAAUCCCCGGGCUCAACCUGGGAACUGCAUUCGAAACUGGCAGGCUAGAGUCUUGUAGAGGGGGGUAGAAUUCCAGGUGUAGCGGUGAAAUGCGUAGAGAUCUGGAGGAAUACCGGUGGCGAAGGCGGCCCCCUGGACAAAGACUGACGCUCAGGUGCGAAAGCGUGGGGAGCAAACAGGAUUAGAUACCCUGGUAGUCCACGCUGUAAACGAUGUCGAUUUGGAGGUUGUGCCCUUGAGGCGUGGCUUCCGGAGCUAACGCGUUAAAUCGACCGCCUGGGGAGUACGGCCGCAAGGUUAAAACUCAAAUGAAUUGACGGGGGCCCGCACAAGCGGUGGAGCAUGUGGUUUAAUUCGAUGCAACGCGAAGAACCUUACCUGGUCUUGACAUCCACAGAACUUUCCAGAGAUGGAUUGGUGCCUUCGGGAACUGUGAGACAGGUGCUGCAUGGCUGUCGUCAGCUCGUGUUGUGAAAUGUUGGGUUAAGUCCCGCAACGAGCGCAACCCUUAUCCUUUGUUGCCAGCGGUUAGGCCGGGAACUCAAAGGAGACUGCCAGUGAUAAACUGGAGGAAGGUGGGGAUGACGUCAAGUCAUCAUGGCCCUUACGACCAGGGCUACACACGUGCUACAAUGGCAUAUACAAAGAGAAGCGACCUCGCGAGAGCAAGCGGACCUCAUAAAGUAUGUCGUAGUCCGGAUUGGAGUCUGCAACUCGACUCCAUGAAGUCGGAAUCGCUAGUAAUCGUAGAUCAGAAUGCUACGGUGAAUACGUUCCCGGGCCUUGUACACACCGCCCGUCACACCAUGGGAGUGGGUUGCAAAAGAAGUAGGUAGCUUAACCUUCGGAGGCGCGGU
Molecule: ribosomal RNA, 1415 nt
Filed under: bacterium Lv05
Lineage: Bacteria
Description: bacterial SSU rRNA
Rfam family: Bacterial small subunit ribosomal RNA
Source: RNAcentral